AGUGGUUUAGCACUUAGCUGCUAACUGAAAGAUUGGUGGAUCAAACCCACCAGCCACUC
This 59-nucleotide transfer RNA is filed under the name Loxodonta africana (African savanna elephant). Lineage: Eukaryota; Metazoa; Chordata; Mammalia; Proboscidea; Elephantidae. The record is from Rfam by way of RNAcentral.